This 740-nucleotide long non-coding RNA is filed under the name Prunus persica (peach). RNAcentral describes it as "long non-coding RNA (PPER_LNC000030)". The record is from RNAcentral. Lineage: Eukaryota; Viridiplantae; Streptophyta; Magnoliopsida; Rosales; Rosaceae.
GCUUUUUGCAUCAGGCAUUCUGGCUUUGAAGUUUUUCUAGGCUGAUUAUGUUCAUCUCUAUACAUAUUUCCAUACAUUAUUUGAGAAAUAUUCUUUUGUUGGUAUGAGUGUGACUAUUGUUUUAGGCUAGUUUAGAUCAUUGCAACCUGUUGAUGCUCAAAAUGGCCCGGCCAAUAUUGAGUGCAACUUAGCGAUUAGAUGUGCUGAGUCUUCAGCAGAGAAGGAGGCUGAGGCCCUUGGUGAAAUGGGUUGGUGAGAGACCUGUAGAAGGUAAAAAGAGGAGAAGCAAUCGUUAAGCUUCGGACACCGGUGUGGUGCCGGCCGAAGGCUCUCCGAUGCCUAAGUCAGUUACAAGUAGUAAUUCUGACAGAGUAACAGUAAAAGUGGGAGAAUAGUUCUUGGUUUUACCUGGGUACUGUUCCCAAUGUGGGACUUUGUGCAAGCCGUUGUGGUGACGACACGUGUCCUGGAGAUUAGAUUUGGUAGCUGAGAGCUUCGGCAGGUGUCUGGCACCUCGGAAGUGUGUCUUCCUUCGGCAUGGGAGAAGGCGUGGCUGCCUUGGUGCUAGUCGCUUUGAUGCUGGGUCUGCUCGGUUCAUUAUGGUGUAAACACAACCCAUGUUGGGUGAUUAUCUAUUGAAACUUGGGUUUCUGUAUUGUAUAAUUUGAAUCAGUGCAAAUAAAAAUUUGUUUUACUUUAUUUUGUAUCCCUUCAGACUUUCAGUUUCAGUGAAUUACUUU